RNAcentral lists this ribosomal RNA (429 nucleotides) under uncultured archaeon. Its description in RNAcentral is "bacterial SSU rRNA". It matches the Rfam family "Archaeal small subunit ribosomal RNA", at positions 474 to 903 of the family's 1478-position model. The record is from RNAcentral.
UACCUGCAGCUCAAGUGGUGGCCGCUAUUAUCGGGCCUAAAACGUUCGUAGCCGGUUUGGUAAAUGCCUGGGUAAAUCGUGUAGCUUAACUAUACGAAUUCCGGGUAGACUGCUAAACUUGAGACCGGGAGAAGCUAGAGGUACUCCUGGGGUAGAGGUGAAAUUCUGUAAUCCUGGGGGGACCACCAGUGGCGAAGGCGUCUAGCUAGAACGGGUUUGACGGUGAGGAACGAAGCCCUGGGGCGCAAACCGGAUUAGAUACCCGGGUAGUCCAGGGUGUAAACGCUGCUUGCUUGAUGUUAGUUGGGCUCCGAGCCCAAUUAGUGUCGGAGAGAAGUUGUUAAGCAAGCUGCCUGGGAAGUACGAUCGCAAGAUUGAAACUUAAAGGAAUUGGCGGGGGAGCACAGCAACGGGUGGAGCGUGCGGUUU